AUCUGUCAGUUACGGGGGCCGCCCGGCGGGCGGGCAGGAGGCGCUCGCAGGCUACCUAGUCGUUCGCUCGCUCUCUCUCGCGUGCUCCGUCUCGCCGCCUGCGGGGAAGUCGGGGCCGCCCGAGCGGCCGCCGCCACCGCCUCGCCCCGACCUCCUUCCCGGUCCCCUCCCGGCCCAGUGCCUCCUGCCCGCGCACCCCGAGUAGUGAGUGGCCCCGCGCAGGGUCUGGAGAGUCACCGCGGCGGCGCCGGGUGGUGGUUAAACCAUGUUAAGGAGGAUUUUACAGAGGGUCACCUAAGCUGGAGUGCAGUGGCGUGAUGUUGGCACACUGCAACCUCCGUCUCCCGGGUUCAAGCGAUUCUCCUGCCCUGGGCUCCCCAGUAGCUGGGAUUACAGACACCUGGGAGAGUUGGCUCUCAAGGUUCUGAUUUAGAUUCAUCAGCAACUCCUAUAAACACAGUGGAUGUCAAUAAUGAAAGCUCUUCAGAGGGUUUCAUAUGUCCCCAGUGUAUGAAAUCUCUUGGAUCUGCUGAUGAACUUUUCAAACAUUAUGAAGCUGUUCAUGAUGCUGGUAAUGACUCAGGUCACGGAGGAGAGUCUAAUCUUGCUUUGAAGCGAGAUGAUGUAGCACUGCUCAGACAAGAGGUCCAAGACCUA
Molecule: small RNA, 657 nt
Filed under: Pongo abelii (Sumatran orangutan)
Lineage: Eukaryota; Metazoa; Chordata; Mammalia; Primates; Hominidae
Description: processed transcript
Source: RNAcentral